Long non-coding RNA from Neodiprion fabricii, 840 nucleotides. RefSeq lists it as uncharacterized. The record is from RefSeq and is a predicted model, not a curated record. Lineage: Eukaryota; Metazoa; Arthropoda; Insecta; Hymenoptera; Diprionidae. The transcript is spliced from 3 exons.
GGAAGGGGACACGCACGUGCGUCCACAAAGGGACCAGCCGGCCGGCCGAUGAGCACGGCAGUGGUUGUCAACCGAUUUGUAUCUACCCUACAGAAUAUUCUCUUCCAAACAAACUUUCGACGUUGUGGAUUCAAACGUUCACACCUCGUUUGUUUCGCGGGGUUCGAAGACACGUUGAAGAGGAAGAACGACGGAGGAAGUUCGUAGGGGCAGGCAGAGAGGAUCUCAGCUCUAUUGAAAGUUGCGAAGUGUGCGGCGCAUCGGAGAGUAUCAAAUUCACAACAUCCCUUUGCUGUGGUCUAAGCGUCCGAAAGUGGACGUUGACACCCCUUAGACGGCGUCCCUUGUAGCACAUCCGCAUGCAGGAAGCGUAGUGAAACAGGAUGUUCGUGCCGCGGGGAACUACGAGCGACGGGAUGUGACCUCACGAGAUUCAACCCCCGACCAGCCAGCUUGCAACUGCUGUGGGAUAGGAGCAAGAGCAGGGCGAAUGAAUCGUAUCGACCCCAUACCAGACUUCUGAAAUACGUCAAGCCAUGUGCGCUACUGCCAGAGGGGAGAAAACUGAACCAAUGGUAUCACGAUGCAUCCCCUCAAACAGCAUCUCUGGUGCAAAACCUUUCGCCAAGUAUAUUAAAUUCGGUCAUUGGCCACAAAAAUAGCUUCUUUUACCAAAAAUGUAUGCAUUCAAUCGCUUUAUGCAAUCCUUUAUCAAAAAUGAUUCAAUUCACGUAUUAUUUCCAAGCACAUGUCCGUUAAUUUAAAAUAAAAGCAUGAUUGAAACUUAAUGUAUCUUCCCAAGCGAGAUAUAAGCAGUGUGUAAUUGUUUAUGCAGCUUUC